RNAcentral lists this ribosomal RNA (593 nucleotides) under Polaromonas sp. BvORR098. RNAcentral describes it as "bacterial SSU rRNA". It matches the Rfam family "Bacterial small subunit ribosomal RNA", at positions 102 to 691 of the family's 1533-position model. Lineage: Bacteria; Pseudomonadati; Pseudomonadota; Betaproteobacteria; Burkholderiales; Comamonadaceae. RNAcentral also lists the same sequence under 1 other name. The record is from RNAcentral.
ACGGGUGAGUAAUAUAUCGGAACGUGCCCAGUCGUGGGGGAUAACGUAGAGAAAUUUACGCUAAUACCGCAUACGAUCUAAGGAUGAAAGCGGGGGAUCGCAAGACCUCGCGCGAUUGGAGCGGCUGAUAUCAGAUUAGGUUGUUGGUGAGGUAAAAGCUCACCAAGCCGACGAUCUGUAGCUGGUUUGAGAGAACGACCAGCCACACUGGGACUGAGACACGGCCCAGACUCCUACGGGAGGCAGCAGUGGGGAAUUUUGGACAAUGGGCGAAAGCCUGAUCCAGCAAUGCCGCGUGCAGGAAGAAGGCCUUCGGGUUGUAAACUGCUUUUGUACGGAACGAAACGGCUCUUUCUAAUAAAGAGGGCUAAUGACGGUACCGUAAGAAUAAGCACCGGCUAACUACGUGCCAGCAGCCGCGGUAAUACGUAGGGUGCGAGCGUUAAUCGGAAUUACUGGGCGUAAAGCGUGCGCAGGCGGUUAUAUAAGACAGUUGUGAAAUCCCCGGGCUCAACCUGGGAAUUGCAUCUGUGACUGUAUAGCUAGAGUACGGUAGAGGGGGAUGGAAUUCCGCGUGUAGCAGUGAAAUGCGU